UAACGGCAGUUAGAUGCUGAUUUAAUUUAAAUAAUAAGUAAAAGUUCAUACCGUAAAAUAAAAAACCAUCGCGUCGCGAAAACAUGAAAAAAAAUGAUCUAAGUAAAAUUUUUUCGAAAGUGAUUUAGUGUACAAGUGUGACAAAGAAAAAUCUAUUGUUUCUUCAAGUCAACAAAAGAAGAUCGGCGUCGUUUCUAUUAUUCAAACUGAAUCCGGAUAUUAAAUCACUGGCAAUAAUCCGCCCAAGUUUGAUACAGGAUUAAGGUUAUACUCUACCAUCUCCAUUGUAAGUCAUCCCAGCACCAUGAGGACAUAAUGAUUCAAAUUCUGGUGUCCGAGGCAU
Molecule: long non-coding RNA, 343 nt
Organism: Microplitis demolitor
Lineage: Eukaryota; Metazoa; Arthropoda; Insecta; Hymenoptera; Braconidae
Exons: 3
Source: RefSeq, a predicted model, not a curated record